RNAcentral lists this ribosomal RNA (763 nucleotides) under Clostridium tyrobutyricum. RNAcentral's name for it is "bacterial SSU rRNA". It matches the Rfam family "Bacterial small subunit ribosomal RNA", at positions 700 to 1467 of the family's 1533-position model. Lineage: Bacteria; Bacillati; Bacillota; Clostridia; Eubacteriales; Clostridiaceae. The record is from RNAcentral.
GGAAGAACACCAGUGGCGAAGGCGAUUCUCUGGACUGUAACUGACUCUGAGGCACGAAAGCGUGGGUAGCAAACAGGAUUAGAUACCCUGGUAGUCCACGCCGUAAACGAUGAGUACUAGGUGUAGGAGGUAUCGACCCCUUCUGUGCCGCAGUAAACACAUUAAGUACUCCGCCUGGGAAGUACGAUCGCAAGAUUAAAACUCAAAGGAAUUGACGGGGGCCCGCACAAGCAGCGGAGCAUGUGGUUUAAUUCGAAGCAACGCGAAGAACCUUACCUGGACUUGACAUCCCCUGAAUAACCUAGAGAUAGGCGAAGCCCUUCGGGGCAGGGAGACAGGUGGUGCAUGGUUGUCGUCAGCUCGUGUCGUGAGAUGUUAGGUUAAGUCCUGCAACGAGCGCAACCCUUAUUGUUAGUUGCUAACAUUCAGUUGAGCACUCUAACGAGACUGCCGCGGAUAACGCGGAGGAAGGUGGGGAUGACGUCAAAUCAUCAUGCCCCUUAUGUCCAGGGCAACACACGUGCUACAAUGGGCAGAACAAAGAGAAGCAAUACCGCGAGGUGGAGCCAAACUCAAAAACUGCUCUCAGUUCGGAUUGCAGGCUGAAACUCGCCUGCAUGAAGCUGGAGUUGCUAGUAAUCGCGAAUCAGCAUGUCGCGGUGAAUACGUUCCCGGGCCUUGUACACACCGCCCGUCACACCAUGAGAGCUGGCAACACCCGAAGUCCGUAGUCUAACGUAAGAGGACGCGGCCGAAGGUGGGG